Molecule: long non-coding RNA, 864 nt
Organism: Bombyx mori (domestic silkworm)
Lineage: Eukaryota; Metazoa; Arthropoda; Insecta; Lepidoptera; Bombycidae
Exons: 6
Source: RefSeq, a predicted model, not a curated record
AAUAAUGGGUUAAUAUCGAAUUGUAUCCGUAAAGCUUUAAGCUUAAAAGUCCAAUAACCAAUGGUAAAUAAAAAACGGUUAGCUUUGAAUAAAUUUUGAAUGUUUUUCUCAUCUCCAACGGUUUAUUCUGAUGGUUUAAAUGUGUAAUAGCGGAGGUUAAGGAGGAUGGCUUAGUAUAUGUGAAAGUGUACAAAUGUGGGAAAAUGUAACAAAGCCGCUGGACUUAGCUUCUCAAGAUCUUUGAAAUAGUCCACUCAAAAAGUCUCCGUGAAUAGCGUAUAGAAACAAAAGAUUAGGCUGUAUGAUGGAAUACUUGGGAUUUGAUACUUUCACCUUUCCAGUUGGAAAAAUGAAACCUACUACUCGUCAAUUCGUAGAUUAUGGCAGUACGUCUGCAUAUAACUUGGAAUGCAAACAGCUGGAACGGGUCGUGGUUGAGUUACAACAUGGCAGCCCACGCGCGGUGUGCGCUCAUCGUCAUCGCGCUCGGCGUGUCCUCGGUUACGCUUUCAAUGUCUCACAGCAAGGUGUGCCAGCAGAGUUCCACACUGCAGUCGCCAAUUCGAAUCUGGUCCCAUUAGUCCAAUUACGUAAUCGUAAUAGUGCAUUAGCGUCUGGACGAGAGAGCUGCAUGUUUUUGAUUAACCAAUCGAAUUGGAGUGGAUAAUAAAACUGUAAACUGUAGACAAGAUUAUUUUUUCUCAGAUGAGAUCACAAUGUAAACAAUAAUAUCUGAACAAUAAUGAUUCAUUCUUAAGAAAACAAAACCAGCUCCUAUUCAUUUUUGAUCAACACAUUUCUAUAGUUGUAUUUGUAUUUAAUCUAAUAAUUGAUCCAUUCAAUAAAUUACAUAGAUCAAAACUA